GUGCCAGCAGCCGCGGUAAUACGAAGGUCCCAAGCGUUAUCCGGAUUUAUUGGGUUUAAAGGGUGCGUAGGCGGCUUAUUAAGUCAGUGGUGAAAGCUCCAUGCUUAACGUGGAAAUUGCCAUUGAUACUGAUGAGCUUGAGUAGAUUUGAAGUGGGCGGAAUGUGUCGUGUAGCGGUGAAAUGCUUAGAUAUGACACAGAACACCGAUUGCGUAGGCAGCUCACUAAACUCUUACUGACGCUGAGGCACGAAAGCAUGGGGAUCAAACAGGAUUAGAAACCCUGGUAGUCC
RNAcentral lists this ribosomal RNA (292 nucleotides) under uncultured bacterium. RNAcentral describes it as "partial 16S ribosomal RNA". It matches the Rfam family "Bacterial small subunit ribosomal RNA", at positions 505 to 796 of the family's 1533-position model. The record is from RNAcentral.